RNAcentral lists this ribosomal RNA (410 nucleotides) under bacterium BCM53. Its description in RNAcentral is "bacterial SSU rRNA". It matches the Rfam family "Bacterial small subunit ribosomal RNA", at positions 58 to 514 of the family's 1533-position model. The record is from RNAcentral.
CAAGUCGAACGAUCACUUCGGUGGUAGUGGCGCACGGGUGCGUAACGCGUGGGAAUCUGCCCUUGGGUUCGGAAUAACGUCGGGAAACUGACGCUAAUACCGGAUGAUGACGUAAGUCCAAAGAUUUAUCGCCCAGGGAUGAGCCCGCGUAGGAUUAGCUAGUUGGUGGGGUAAAGGCCUACCAAGGCGACGAUCCUUAGCUGGUCUGAGAGGAUGAUCAGCCACACUGGGACUGAGACACGGCCCAGACUCCUACGGGAGGCAGCAGUAGGGAAUAUUGGACAAUGGGCGCAAGCCUGAUCCAGCAAUGCCGCGUGAGUGAUGAAGGCCUUAGGGUUGUAAAGCUCUUUUACCAGAGAUGAUAAUGACAGUAUCUGGGGAAUAAGCCCCGGCUAACUCCGUGCCAGCAG